This 484-nucleotide ribosomal RNA is filed under the name uncultured bacterium. RNAcentral describes it as "partial 16S ribosomal RNA". It matches the Rfam family "Bacterial small subunit ribosomal RNA", at positions 29 to 523 of the family's 1533-position model. The record is from RNAcentral.
AGUGAACGCUGGCGGCGUGCUUAACACAUGCAAGUCGAACGAGAACGGAUUAUAGCUUGCUAUAAUUGUCAGCUAAGUGGCGCACGGGUGAGUAAUGUAUAGGUAAUAUGCCUCUUACUAAGGGAUAACAAAUGGAAACGUUUGCUAAUACCUUAUACUCCUUAUUAACAUAAGUUAAUAAGGGAAAGAUUUAUUGGUAAGAGAUUAGCCUGUAUUGUAUCAGUUAGUUGGUGGGGUAAUGGCUUACCAAGACUAUGACACAUAACUGGUUUGAGAGGAUGAUCAGUCACACUGGAACUGAGACACGGUCCAGACUCCUACGGGAGGCAGCAGUGGGGAAUAUUGCGCAAUGGACGAAAGUCUGAUGCAGCAACGCCGCGUGGAGGAUGACACAUUUCGGUGCGUAAACUCCUUUUAUAUGAGAAGAUAAUGACGGUAUUAUAUGAAUAAGCACCGGCUAACUCCGUGCCAGCCGCCGCGGUAA